AUUGAACGCUGGCGGCAGGCCUAACACAUGCAAGUCGAGCGAGCGGCGGACGGGUGAGUAAUGUAUGGGGAUCUGCCUUAUGGAGGGGGAUAACUACUGGAAACGGUAGCUAAUACCGCAUACCUUCAGCUGAUCCCAUGUGGGAUUAGCUUGUAGGUAAGGUAACGGCUUACCUAGGCGACGAUCCCUAGCUGGUCUGAGAGGAUGAUCAGCCACACUGGGACGGAGACACGGCCCAGACUCCUACGGGAGGCAGCAGUGGGGAAUAUUGCACAAUGGGCGAAAGCCUGAUGCAGCCACGCCGCGUGUAUGAUGAAGGUCUUCGGGUUGUAAAGCACUUUCAGUAGGGAGGCGUUACCGACAGAAGAAGCACCGGCUAACUCCGUGCCAGCAGCCGCGGUAAUUC
RNAcentral lists this ribosomal RNA (406 nucleotides) under uncultured bacterium. Its description in RNAcentral is "partial 16S ribosomal RNA". It matches the Rfam family "Bacterial small subunit ribosomal RNA", at positions 30 to 526 of the family's 1533-position model. The record is from RNAcentral.